ACUGUAUACAGUAACAGGACAGUAUGGAGAUGAGGAAACAGACAAGUAUGCUUCCAAGAUUCAGAAGGCGGUUCGAUCGUUUAAGUUCACAUAAACAAAAUGUUCAUGACAGGAGAGAAAUUUUUUUCGUUACAGGAUGUCUUCAUGACAUGAUUUAUGAGCUAGAAAUGUCUGUCUAAAUCCUAUUAGUAUGAUAUUUACUUCAAUACUGAUAGACCAAAGCAGUAUAAAUGAAUGACACUAAUUGAUGUAAUGGACAAAGAUAUUUUGCAGUGAACAUCAGUGCCUUUGGUUAAA
This is a long non-coding RNA of Lathyrus oleraceus (garden pea), 297 nucleotides long. RefSeq lists it as uncharacterized. The transcript has 3 exons. Lineage: Eukaryota; Viridiplantae; Streptophyta; Magnoliopsida; Fabales; Fabaceae. The record is from RefSeq and is a predicted model, not a curated record.